GACGAACGCUGGCGGCAUGCUUAACACAUGCAAGUCGAACGGAAAGGCCCUGCUUUUGUGGGGUGCUCGAGUGGCGAACGGGUGAGUAACACGUGAGUAACCUGCCCUUGACUUUGGGAUAACUUCAGGAAACUGGGGCUAAUACCGGAUAGGAGCUCCUGCUGCAUGGUGGGGGUUGGAAAGUUUCGGCGGUUGGGGAUGGACUCGCGGCUUAUCAGCUUGUUGGUGGGGUAGUGGCUUACCAAGGCUUUGACGGGUAGCCGGCCUGAGAGGGUGACCGGCCACAUUGGGACUGAGAUACGGCCCAGACUCCUACGGGAGGCAGCAGUGGGGAAUAUUGCACAAUGGGCGGAAGCCUGAUGCAGCAACGCCGCGUGCGGGAUGACGGCCUUCGGGUUGUAAACCGCUUUCGCCUGUGACGAGGCGUGAGUGACGGUAAUGGGUAAAGAAGCACCGGCUAACUACGUG
This 468-nucleotide ribosomal RNA is filed under the name uncultured bacterium. Its description in RNAcentral is "partial 16S ribosomal RNA". It matches the Rfam family "Bacterial small subunit ribosomal RNA", at positions 28 to 507 of the family's 1533-position model. The record is from RNAcentral.